Molecule: ribosomal RNA, 471 nt
Filed under: uncultured organism
Description: partial 16S ribosomal RNA
Rfam family: Bacterial small subunit ribosomal RNA
Source: RNAcentral
ACUCCUGCGGGAGGCAGCAGUGGGGAAUAUUGCACAAUGGGCGCAAGCCUGAUGCAGCCAUGCCGCGUGUAUGAAGAAGGCCUUCGGGUUGUAAAGUACUUUCAGCGGGGAGGAAGGCGAUAAGGUUAAUAACCUUGUUGAUUGACGUUACCCGCAGAAGAAGCACCGGCUAACUCCGUGCCAGCAGCCGCGGUAAUACGGAGGGUGCAAGCGUUAAUCGGAAUUACUGGGCGUAAAGCGCACGCAGGCGGUCUGUCAAGUCGGAUGUGAAAUCCCCGGGCUCAACCUGGGAACUGCAUUCGAAACUGGCAGGCUAGAGUCUUGUAGAGGGGGGUAGAAUUCCAGGUGUAGCGGUGAAAUGCGUAGAGAUCUGGAGGAAUACCGGUGGCGAAGGCGGCCCCCUGGACAAAGACUGACGCUCAGGUGCGAAAGCGUGGGGAGCAAACAGGAUUAGAUACCCGGGUAGUCCCA